RNAcentral lists this ribosomal RNA (966 nucleotides) under Karlodinium zhouanum. Its description in RNAcentral is "partial large subunit ribosomal RNA". It matches the Rfam family "Eukaryotic large subunit ribosomal RNA", at positions 413 to 1277 of the family's 3401-position model. Lineage: Eukaryota; Dinophyceae; Gymnodiniales; Kareniaceae. The record is from RNAcentral.
AGGGAAGCGAAUGGAACCAGUCUUCUUGGUGAGAUUGUUGCACGCUAUGGUGAUUGCUUGCUGCUUCAACGCAAGUGUUGCAGUGGGUUUUGAUCCUGACGUGUGCUUUGUUUCUUACCUCGUGUGUCAACGUCGGUUCGGAAUUGAGGAAAACUCUAGGGACAUGGUAACUCGCCUGCGGGUGAGCCAAUGUGCCUGGUAGAACUCAUUUCUUAACUGAUUUCUGCAUGUCUGGUCGCAGUGUUUCAUUACCUGUGUUCUGGUAUUGCGCUUGUGGCUCUUCUGCUGCUUGUUGCGUUGCUGGGCCUGGUCGUGGAGCAUCUCCCUGACAUUAGUACGAUGACAAAAUGGUUUCAUUCGACCCGUCUUGAAACACGGACCAAGGAGUCUAACAUAUGUGCAAGUUCAUGGGUGUUAAACCUAAUUGCGCAAUGAAAGUGACUGCUGGGAUAUUUGCACCAGCAACCGACCAAUCAAUUGUGAGAGGUUUGAGUAUGAGCAUAUCUGUUAGGACCCGAAAGAUGGUGAACUAUGCGUGAGAAGGGUGAAGUCAGGGGAAACUCUGAUGGAGGCUCGUAGCGAUACUGACGUGCAAAUCGUUCGUCAUACUUGCGUAUAGGGGCGAAAGACUAAUCGAACCAUCUAGUAGCUGGUUCCCUCCGAAGUUUCCCUCAGGAUAGCUGGAGUUGAACAGUUUUAUCAGGUAAAGCGAAUGAUUAGAGGAAUCGGGGACGCGUUGUCCUCGACCUAUUCUCAAACUUUAAAUGGGUAAGAUCCAGUGGUUACUUGGGUGAACUUCUGGGAUAAAUGACAACUCUAAGUGGGCCAUUUUUGGUAAGCAGAACUGGCGAUGAGGGAUGAACCUAACGUUGGGUUAAGGUGCUUAACUGCUCGCUCAUCAGAUACCAUAAAGGGUGUUGGUUCAUUUAACAGCAGGACGGUGUCAUGAAGCGAAUGCCCAAAGGU